This 203-nucleotide long non-coding RNA is filed under the name Elaeis guineensis (African oil palm). RNAcentral describes it as "long non-coding RNA (EGUI_LNC054880)". The record is from RNAcentral. Lineage: Eukaryota; Viridiplantae; Streptophyta; Magnoliopsida; Arecales; Arecaceae.
CCUUGUUCUUAAAGGAGCGCUCAACGGGAUCGCCUCCGAUCAUCUUUUCCGACGUCCUCUCCUCCUUCCCCCACUAGAUCUUCGCCCGAUGCCUCCCCGCAAAGCAUCCACAUGACGAUCCACGGCCUCUGCGGUCAGAUCUCAGGCUCCGACCUCACCUCCAGUUUCCCAACCUCCCCCUCCUCCUUCGAUAAUGGCGGUUG